RNAcentral lists this signal recognition particle RNA (100 nucleotides) under Neisseria wadsworthii 9715. RNAcentral describes it as "Bacterial signal recognition particle RNA". It matches the Rfam family "Bacterial small signal recognition particle RNA". From Rfam's summary of the family: The signal recognition particle (SRP) is a universally conserved ribonucleoprotein involved in the co-translational targeting of proteins to membranes. Archaeal SRP consists of a 7S RNA and homologues of the eukaryotic SRP19 and SRP54 proteins. In most bacteria, the SRP consists of a 4.5S RNA and the Ffh protein (a homologue of the eukaryotic SRP54 protein). The record is from RNAcentral. Lineage: Bacteria; Pseudomonadati; Pseudomonadota; Betaproteobacteria; Neisseriales; Neisseriaceae.
UGGCGGGUCUCCCUGCAUGGUAAUUCGGAGCAACGGGUCAGGAGCGGAAGCUAGCAGCCCACUCUGAGGAAUCAGUGCCAGGGGUUGGGCUCGCCGCCCU